UACGUCCAUAUCACGUCGAAAAACCGGUUUCCGUACGUUCACUGAAGUUAAACCACAUCGAGCCUGGUUAGUACCAAGAUGGGUGACCGCUUGGAAAUACAGGGUGCUGUAA
Non-coding RNA from Acanthosepion pharaonis, 112 nucleotides. NCBI's taxonomy places the organism in Eukaryota, Metazoa, Mollusca, Cephalopoda, Sepiida, Sepiidae. The record is from the annotation of a GenBank genome assembly.